UGAUAAUAGUUUGUUAGAAUUAACCUUGCAAAGCACCAAAUUAAACAAAGAUAAAUAACAAGAUUAAUACAAGAAAUUAGAAAUCAACUGUAUAGAUUAAAAAAUAAAAGUGAAAAACUCUAUUUUUUCCAAAACAAGAUGCAACAAUGGUGGAUAAAUCAAGGGUCAAACUUAUGGCCACAAUCCAAAUGGUAGCACCACACAAAUUAGACCCAAAGAUCACUUCAAGUAACCCACACAAGGCAUAGAGGAAGAGGACCCAAAACGAAGUAGUGAAGGGACUGAAAUGUGGAGGAGACAGAUAAAUAGUGAAGGUAGCAAAGAAAGGAUCGACGAAGGAGAGAACAAGAAAGAUUCUCUCAAAAAAUACAACCACAAAGGCUUAGUACUUGUUUUCAUCUCACUUGAAUCAUCUCCCAAAAG
Molecule: long non-coding RNA, 423 nt
Filed under: Olea europaea subsp. europaea
Lineage: Eukaryota; Viridiplantae; Streptophyta; Magnoliopsida; Lamiales; Oleaceae
Source: RNAcentral